UCGCCCUGGGAGAUCGCCGUGGGGUCCAUUCGGGCGGCCCGGAACCCCUGCCUUAAGCCCCGAGGGCCCUGGGAGAUGCGGGUCGCCCGCGGAGGAACGCAGCACUGCACUGCCCAAGGGCCCUGCCUCUCCGGGUCAGCUGGCCCCCGAGGGCCUGGGAGCAGGCUCCUGCCCCUCCCGAUCCUGUGCGAGCUUGCGGCACGGUUUUGACCGGGGUGAGAUUGGCCUCCCCAGCUGGCUUGGAGGUUUCCAUGGAGAGGCUAUGUUUACCGCCCAGAACCUCACUGGCUGCACGUGGGGCUAGGAAAGGCAUGUCCACCAGCUCAGGAGCCAGCCAGAGUCCACCCGGGUGUGGCCAGUGCCAAGUAGGGGAAGGUGUUAGGUUUCACCCACACAACCAGAAAUAUGUAACUGAGGACACUGGCCAGACUGAUGGCAGAGCAGCCUCAGAGUAGGGACACUGCCCCCCACCACACACACCUGGAUGUCAGGACCAAGGCAGCAUCACUUUGGACUAUGAGCUAGCCUGGUCUACCAUGAAAGGUUCACGGACCAUCAGUGCUACUCCUGAAGGCAGUCCAGAAGGUAUGGACUUGAGUCUGGUUGGCCUCCCUCCACCCAUGUCCCAGCGCCCCAGCAGUGCAUCUGCCACCAAGUCCAUUGUCCGAUCCGUGUCUGUGGCCACGGGCAGUGAGCCGAGAAAAAAGGCAUUGGAGGCCACAGGGCCUGGGGGCUCCCGGGCUAUCAACAAUCUUCGAAGAUCUAACAGCACUACGCAGGUCAACCAGUCAUGGACCGGCUCCCCCAGGCCGGCAGAGCCCAGCGACUUCCUGAUGCUCUUUGAGGGCAGCACCCGUGGGAGGAGGAGGGUGGCCAGUCUUAGCAAGGCGUCCAGCGAGAAGGAAGCCUCGUGGAACGUCCUGGAUGACCAGCCUAGGGGCUUUGCUUUGCCAGCCAGCGUCCAGAGUCCCAGCACCCUUGACUCUGCCUUGGGCCCGCGGAGGAAGGAGUGUGCCCUGGCACCCAGCUUCACUGUUAACAACAGAAGCAACAAAGGAGCCGUGGGCAACUGUGUCACUACCAUGGUGCAUAACCACUACGCCUCCCUGAAGAAGGUGUCACCUCCCAAGAGCUCCAACCAGACAGCCCCCUCCCUCAACAAUAUCAUCAAGGCUGCAGCUCGAGAGGGCGGUGAGGGCAGUGACUUUGGGAAGCCUCGGAAGAACGUCUCUGGUGGCAGUCACUCCACCCGGGGUGCCACCGGCCUGCUGAGGCGGAAGGAGGUGACUGAGGAGGAAGCUGAGAGGUUUAUCCACCAGGUAAACCAGGCUGCAGUCACCAUCCAACGCUGGUACCGCCGCCAGGUACAGAGGCGCCGAGCAGGAGCAAGCCUGGAACACCUGCUGGCGUCUAAGCGGGAGGAGCAGAGGCAACGGCUGGGUAGUGGGAACCUUCUGGACCUGCACCGGCAGGAGGAGGCAGCAAGGAAGAAGGCCCGGGAGGAGAAGGCUCGCCGGGCCAGGCAGGCAGCCAUUCAGGAAUUGCAGCAGAAACGAGCCCAGAAGGCAGGUGAGGCUGAGCACAGGCCGCCUAAAGACAGACCAGAGACCAGAGCACCGGGGCAGCCUCGACCCACCCAGGAGCCACCCUCGAUGCCAGGCAGUACCGCCCACCAGGCCCUCAAGGCCAACAAUGCCAGUGCCAGCAUCUACCCCACAGGCCCUGGAGACCCCUGCCCUCCUGCCUCUGAGUCAUCCCCAGAGCCCCAGCAGCCUCCAGAGGACAAGCCACAGGACAUCCAUUCCCAGGAUGUAGCCAGAGAGGACUUGGAAGUGUUGGGCACUACCAGGAGCAAGAUCAGGGCCAGAGCAACCCUGGAUGAGCUGCUAGACACACUGAGGUUACUGGAGGAGGAGCCUGAGCCGCUGCCCCGCCCGAAGACCUAUCACAAAGACAGAUAUGCCUGGACCGAGGAGGAGGAUGACAUCAACUCCCUGACAGCUGACAACCUGGAGAAAUUUGGGAAACUGAGUGCACCCCCAGGCCCACUUGAUGAUGGGACUCUGCUCUCAGAGGCCAAGCUGCAGAGCAUCAUGAGCUUCCUAGAUGAGAUGGAGAAGUCGGGACAGGACCGGCCAGCACCCCAGCGGGAGAGCCUGGUGCCGGAGGCGGGCCCAAAGCCCCUGGAACUGGGGUCUGAGGGGAGUACAUUCAUGAUGCGGCUAAAGCUGGAGGUCGAGGAAAAGAAGCAGGCCAUGGUUCUACUGCAGAGAGCUCUGGCGCAACAGCGUGACCUCACCAUCCGACGUGUUAAGGAGACAGAGAAGGAGCUGAACCGGCAGUUGCGGCAGCAGAAGGAGCACUAUGAGGCCACCAUCCAACGGCACUUGUCCUUCAUUGACCAGCUGAUUGAAGACAAGAAGAUUCUGAGUGAGAAGUGCGAGGCAGUGGUGACUGAGCUGAAGCAAGGGGACCAGCGGUGUCGGGAGCGCGUGGCCCAGAUGCAGGAGCAGCACGAACUGGAGAUUAAGAAACUCAAAGAACUCAUGAGUGCCACUGAGAAAAUCCGCCGCGAGAAGUGGAUCAAUGAGAAAACGAAAAAGAUCAAGGAGAUCACAGUCAGAGGUCUGGAGCCCGAGAUCCAGAAACUCAUUGCCAAGCACAAGCAAGAAGUGAGGAGGCUCAGAGGCCUGCACGAGGCUGAGCUGCAGCAGCGUGAUGAGCAGGCCGCACAGCGCCACCUGCGCCAGGCAGAAGAGCUGCGGGAACACCUUGAGCGGGAGAAGGAGGCGCUGGGCAAGCAGGAGCGCGAGCGUGCCCAGCAGCGGUUUGAGCAGCACCUGGAGCAGGAACAUCGGGCGCUGGAGCAGCAACGGCGGCGACUCUACAAUGAGGUGGCUGAAGAGAAGGAGCGGCUGGGCCAGCAGGCAGCCAGGCAGCGGGCAGAGCUGGAGGAGCUGAGGCAGCAGCUGGAGGAGAGCAGUACAGCCCUGACUCGAACCCUGAGAGCCGAGUUUGAGAGAAGCCGGGAGGAGCAAGAGCAGAGGCACCAGAUGGAGCUGAAAGCCCUGAAGGAGCAGCUGGAAGCUGAGAGGCAGGCAUGGGUGGCCAGCUGUGCCAAGAAGGAGGAAGCAUGGAUGCUGACCAGGGAACGUGAGCUGAAGGAGGAGAUCCGAAAAGGCCGAGACCAGGAGAUUGAGUUGGUCAUCCACCGGCUGGAGGCUGAUAUGACACUGGCCAAGGAGGAGAGCGAGAGGGCCGCCGAGAGCCGCGUGAAGCGUGUGCGGGACAAGUAUGAAACGGAGCUCUUGGAGCUGGAGCAGUCGGAGCGGAAGCUGCAGGAGCGGUGCACAGAGCUGAAAGGGCGCCUCGGCGAGGCCGAAGGGGAGAAGGAGCGCCUGCAGUCCCUAGUCCGGCAGAAGGAGAAGGAACUGGAAGACGUGCGUGCGGUGAACACACAGAUGUGCAGCGAGCGGGCCAGCCUGGCCCAGGUGGUCCGACAGGAGUUUGCAGACCAGCUGGCAGCCUCCCAGGAGGAGAGCCAGAGGGUGAAAGCAGAGCUUGCUGAGCUGCGGGCCCGCCAGCAGAUGGAGCUAGAUGAGGUGCAUCGGAGGUGGGUGGUCCGGACUUCAGGUGGGGCACAGGGAGCAGUGGUGUGUCUUCCUUUCUCCUCCACAUAUGCAGACAUAGCCCAGGAGCAGGAGCUCGCAUGGCUUCCAGCUCUGUGUUCAGGAAGACUGGGCAUCUUCCCUCUGGGUGUCACUUAGUUCUGGAGCAUCAGGGCUGGCAAGGACCCACCUGUGCUUCUCCAAGAGGGUGAGCUAGGAUUCUGGCUGGGUCAGCUGUUGCUCAACAGAGGGCCAGCUGCAGGGAGGGUGACAGUGAGCACCCAGAAUCUUAGCACUUCCUGAGGCUGAGGCUGCCCGCCUGUGUGGCUAACAGACAAUAAGACAAAGUCAUGAGGUGACUGCUCACCUGUCUUGGUCUGCACAGCACCAUGCCCAACCCCCUUCCUUCCAAGAACCACUUUAGCAUCUGGUUCUCAUGGAGACGGUGGCCCAGGUCAGCAGGGCUGAGACCCUUUGGGCUGACCUGGGACUCAAGUUGGGGGCUGCACAGACGUCCACUGCACAUCACUGCAGGGUGAAGACCGCUCUAGCAAAGAAGGGGGAGGUCGUGAGCAGUCUCCGGAAGCAGCAUGAGGCUGCUGUGAAGCGGGCGGACCACCUAGAGGAGCUGCUGGAGCAACACAGACGGCCAUCUUUG
RNA transcript from Peromyscus californicus insignis, 4266 nucleotides. It is a transcript of the gene named centrosomal protein 131, with no coding region annotated. NCBI's taxonomy places the organism in Eukaryota, Metazoa, Chordata, Mammalia, Rodentia, Cricetidae. The transcript is spliced from 25 exons. The record is from RefSeq and is a predicted model, not a curated record.